ACGAAAUGAGUAGACUUUAUAAUAAAGAGUGGCAACAUUUACAGUACUGUAUUAUGGUUGGCAAGUUUGAAACUGUUUAUAUAGAUAGGUUGGUUCAUGGAUGAGGUGAAAGCAAAGUGCACAUUUUGAUGGGCUCCCAUAGUUACUUUUUUCCGAACCUCUUUUUUCAUGACCAUAAAUCAAAAUGAGUAGGUUUGUAAGCUUAUGUUUCACGGUGAAGUAACAAAGUGUAAGUAGAAGUACGUAGUAAUUUCAUAAAGGCUCGACAAAGUUGGACCUAUUUCGUAGAAUCACUAGGUCGGAGGUAUUCGCAUUGUGACGUUGGCCGCAUCACAACUAGACUAUAAAUUCAGUCAGCAAACCUUUUCUUCUUAACACGCGUUGAUGCGAUCUCGUCGUGUUUCUUUUGCGGUCCGGUCGUUGUGAUUUGAUUUAAAUAUUUUGAAUCACUUAUUGGGCUUCUUUGAUUUGAGAAGUGCCUAAUGAUAGCGUUAAUUGAGUAGUACAGGUUUAAUAGCAGCAGUGUAGUGUGAAUAUAGGUGAAGUUGACCAGAUAAUGUAGGUAUGUUACUGUAGCUAACCUUAGCUGUUUGGUUGUCAUUCGACGCCUAGAUUUGUUGCUAUCUAUAUCUAUCGCAUUCUAGCGACAGAUCGUACAUAGUUGUGUAUUUAAUUAAAAACAAGGUGACGUUGAGUCAUAGCAACUCGCUAGCAAAGGACAUUUUUGAAUUCUGACGUGUCAGUUGACAAAGGUCAAGAUGAUUGCCACGAGAUUAACGUUAGGGUCUUGUUUUUAGCAGCGGUGGUUACGUAAUAUACCUCGGAAGUAUGCUUAUUUCAACUGAACUGGCAUCUCGGUAUUAAUUCUAAGAUGAGUAACAUCGAAAAUGUCAACCAAAAAAUGUUUGCCAAACAAAAGAAGCGUCUUGUGGCGCACUUGUAGGCCCGAUUCAAAAUGGCGAUUAGGGAGAAAUGGAUGUCCUGGGGAUUCAGUGCUGAAAACAGCUGGUGCAGUUAUCUGAAGUCCAAGCUACUGUUUUUUUUCGAAGAUCAGAAAAGAAUCAGGUUGUAUAAGAAGCGUUAUCGAAAGAACAAGUUACAAUUCAAUAACCGUAUGAAAGAUGAACGACGUUCUUAUUUAUGAGGCAGUAUAGUUACGUCAAUGCGUCUAUUUUAUAUUUUUCUUAAAAUGAACAAUACGUUACAAGAAAUUAACUAUAUGAAGCCUUGUGAAUACGAAGCUAAAUAUGCAAGUUACUAGACAAUCUUGUGAAGAAUUGAGACGUCAUAAGAAUAGCCAACUAAAUAUUUGAAUAUAUUAGGGCGGCGGUCUCAGACAGUUUAGCUAACUUUAAGUGGUUUUGCAAGUUGAUCACAUCGGCAAGAAAUACAUUUUAUACCGAAUAAGAAUCAGCAAUAGAAGUUGGGUGAAUAUCAGAUGCAUUUCCACAGUUUUGUUAUUUUAAGCCUAAAAUUAAUAAGUGUAGCUGCUGAUAGUUGAUUACAUAGAAGGACAAUCGUUUUUUUUUUUUAAAUUGAGGGAAGCAAGUUUCAAGACUAAAACCGUGUGAAAAGUUAGGAUGCCUUUGAGAAUAGCCAACAACAAAUUGAAGAAUGGAAGUUGGGUGAUGGUCCCAUUUAUCAGACGUGUUUUAGCAACUUCAAGACGUUUUUGUUUUUACUUGACCUGAAGAACAAGUUCUGAUCAUUGUCUAUUGUCAGAAAAAAAAUCUGUGUAGGUAACAUGUGAAAGAAAAAAGCUACUAAACUUGAACGAUAUGAAACGUGAAGCCUUAUUCAUUUGAAUAGCAAGCGAAGUAUUGGAAGAGAAUUUGGCCUGACGGUGCCUGUAUCAGUCAUUUGACUGACUUCAAGAAUUUAAAAUGCUUUAAACCUAAAAUGACGAAAAGAUGUGCUGCUGAUUAAGGAUCCAAGUGAAGUGGUCGCCUUAAUUGCACGUGCUGUAAUUCACGGAAUCGCAGGCUCAAAUGUGACCUUGCUUGUCACGCCUCAGAUUUUAUAAACUUUUUUGAAAACACAAUUGGCUCUAGUGAAGAAAAGAAGGCUAUUUUUUCCUGAGGGGAAUGGACUGAGUUUGAGUUGAGGGGGGAAGGACUUAGCUAGUAAGCAGUUUGUGAGGAAGGACUAUUUCAGGAUCAGAGGGAGGAACCAGGCCAUGGGCAAACUGGGAGGACCAGCGGGGGAGCCAGGCAGGACCCAGGGGGAUCGAGGGAGGAGCAGAUGGGAGCCAGUCGUGGGACGCAGCCGGGUGUUCAUCGGAGGGAGGGAGCGAGCCAGAUGGCAGGGUAGCGAGCCUUGCAGUGAGCCGAGAGCGGAGCAGUCCUGGGUCGACUGUUGCCCUAAGCCAGCCAGUGGGUCCCAGCAGCAAUGAGGCAGACGGGUUAAAGAGCAAACGCGUAAAAGGGUCAACUAGCUUCACCAGUCACAGGAAAAGUGUUUGGUAAUGGUGUGGUAAAGCGUUUAUUUUCCUGGUCACAACCCUUUCCUGUGUGCUGAGUGUCUGCUGUGAUACGUCCCCCAUGGCCUUCUUGGUAGAGUGGGCUGGUGAGAGGAGGACCGUCUUAAAAGGAUUUCACCCUCCUGCCGCACAGAUGUAGUGCCCCCCGGGGCGGAGGAGUUUCUCCUGUCAUUGAGUUCAAUAGGUCUACCCCCAAGAUGUGGUCUACAUGGGAGUGUGUUGAGUGGGAGGUCUUCUGUACGUCCGUACCACAACGCCCCUUUGGUGCUGAGCAGCUACAUCUGCUGGUUAAAGUGAGCAGUGAGUUUAAAUGCAUGAUCUGAUCACGUGCGGAGUAACUAUUCCCCUAGCUAAAUAUUGAUAUCGAAUUUAAAUUUGCCUUCGUAUUGGUAACUAAGGGAUUAUCCCUGAAUUUGUAUUUAGUCUGGUGUUAUUGGUCCAACUGUAGUGCCUUUGUGGAUGGGGGGGGAGGGACGUUUUCCGAGUUCUUCUUUUCACAGGCUCGGCCCUUAAAGCAAAGCUGACCGUCCAAGGGAGUCCCUCUUUAGUACUACCCACCACAUUAAUCAAAGAGUUGGGGACGUCACGUAAAUGAUAGUUCUAAGGAUGGAUCAAGUGACACCGGCAUUAAAGUGAUGUAGGAAGGUAUUUUGUGCUAGUUUUCUGUAGUGAGUUGCUCACAUUUUAAUAUGUACUACCAUACUUAAGUGUUUUUCUUCCAAUGCAUUUUAACUGGGCAGACAUUUGGGUUCUGGGAGGGUUGUGGGGGGUGUUAAUCCAAAUUUCUUCCUAGAAUUCUUUCACACAGCUUCGUGUAAAGCAGCAUUUAAAGAUCCAAAUGGCUAGCAUUGAGGUUUGGGGAGCAAGGGAUCAACCGGGUGGUCCACAUCUUUCGGGUGUCCGUUUUGCCUUGUGUAGAGAUUCAUCGGUGUCUACAAGGGUGUAGCAAGUGGCGGGCCACGUUUUGGGAAGUCGACUCGUAUUCUCCCAGGGAGUGUGGUAAUGGUCACCUUUAGAUUGACACAUUUUAUGUCAUGGAGUAUAAAGUUGCAUUUGGGGUUUCUGGGGCCAGGGGACUGCUUAAUUGUGACUUUUCCAGAUUAUUAUGUGACCCAACCUUUCAAUGAAAGAACAACUAGAGGUCCACGUCUACCCCCGUGUGUCUAAAGGAGAAACGGUGACGCAGAGGCCAGUGGUAUUUUAAAGUUUUUUUGUGUGGAAAGUUAAUGAUUUGGUAUUUCUCCAAAUUUUGAUAUUUUCUUUGUAUAUUAGCAACUGUUAAUACAAUUUGAUACUGUAAUUGUGGUGUCUUGGUUGGUUACUGUUUGGGUUUGUCUGUGGGUGGGAAUGGUGGAAGGCAUGUUUUCCCUUCUGCAUUUUUCAGUGUGCUGUGUCCUGCGUUUUCAAUACUCAAGACCAACAGGAACACCCCUAACUCAUUGUAUGUAAAGGUUUUCUAUCGCUUCAAAACGCCUCGCAAGGUCUCAAGUAAGGUCACUUACAAAUGUGUUCACAUUUCCCUUUUUAAUAUUUCAUUAACAUUUGGCAACGCAUAAUUGCACUCCCUUUGCAAAUUAGUUAAUGUUUUGUAUUGCAACAGAGCUAUCUGUAAAGGAUUCAUAAUUGGUAAUAAAUGCAUAGCUUAUUGUGAUUGAA
Molecule: long non-coding RNA, 4135 nt
Organism: Salvelinus fontinalis (brook trout)
Lineage: Eukaryota; Metazoa; Chordata; Actinopteri; Salmoniformes; Salmonidae
Exons: 2
Source: RefSeq, a predicted model, not a curated record